RNAcentral lists this ribosomal RNA (871 nucleotides) under uncultured bacterium. Its description in RNAcentral is "bacterial SSU rRNA". It matches the Rfam family "Bacterial small subunit ribosomal RNA", at positions 51 to 919 of the family's 1533-position model. The record is from RNAcentral.
ACACAUGCAAGUCGAGGGGCAGCAUGACCUAGCAAUAGGUUGAUGGCGACCGGCGCACGGGUGAGUAACACGUAUCCAACCUACCGGUUAUUCCGGGAUAGCCUUUCGAAAGAAAGAUUAAUACCGGAUAGUAUGACGAGAAGGCAUCUUUUUGUUAUUAAAGAAUUUCGAUAACCGAUGGGGAUGCGUUCCAUUAGUUUGUUGGCGGGGUAACGGCCCACCAAGACAUCGAUGGAUAGGGGUUCUGAGAGGAAGGUCCCCCACAUUGGAACUGAGACACGGUCCAAACUCCUACGGGAGGCAGCAGUGAGGAAUAUUGGUCAAUGGACGAGAGUCUGAACCAGCCAAGUAGCGUGAAGGAUGACUGCCCUAUGGGUUGUAAACUUCUUUUAUAUGGGAAUAAAGUGAGCCACGUGUGGCUUUUUGUAUGUACCAUACGAAUAAGGAUCGGCUAACUCCGUGCCAGCAGCCGCGGUAAUACGGAGGAUCCGAGCGUUAUCCGGAUUUAUUGGGUUUAAAGGGAGCGUAGGCGGACUAUUAAGUCAGCUGUGAAAGUUUGCGGCUCAACCGUAAAAUUGCAGUUGAUACUGGUCGUCUUGAGUGCAGUAGAGGUAGGCGGAAUUCGUGGUGUAGCGGUGAAAUGCUUAGAUAUCACGAAGAACUCCGAUUGCGAAGGCAGCUUACUGGACUGUAACUGACGCUGAUGCUCGAAAGUGUGGGUAUCAAACAGGAUUAGAUACCCUGGUAGUCCACACAGUAAACGAUGAAUACUCGCUGUUUGCGAUAUACGGCAAGCGGCCAAGCGAAAGCAUUAAGUAUUCCACCUGGGGAGUACGCCGGCAACGGCGAAACUCAAAGGAAUUGACGGGGG